AACGAACGCUGGCGGCAGGCCUAACACAUGCAAGUCGAGCGCCCGUAGCAAUACGGGAGCGGCAGACGGGUGAGUAACACGUGGGAACGUGCCCAAAGGUACGGAACAACUCCGGGAAACUGGAGCUAAUACCGUAUGUGCCCGAAAGGGGAAAGAUUUAUCGCCUUUGGAUCGGCCCGCGUCUGAUUAGCUAGUUGGUGAGGUAAUGGCUCACCAAGGCGACGAUCAGUAGCUGGUCUGAGAGGAUGAUCAGCCACACUGGGACUGAGACACGGCCCAGACUCCUACGGGAGGGCAGCAGUGGGGAAUAUUGGACAAUGGGCGCAAGCCUGAUCCAGCCAUGCCGCGUGAGUGAUGAAGGCCCUAGGGUUGUAAAGCUCUUUUCGGCGGGGACGAUAAUGACGGUACCCGCAGAAGAAGCCCCGGCUAACUUCGUGCCAGCCGCCGCAGU
This 451-nucleotide ribosomal RNA is filed under the name uncultured bacterium. RNAcentral describes it as "bacterial SSU rRNA". It matches the Rfam family "Bacterial small subunit ribosomal RNA", at positions 29 to 521 of the family's 1533-position model. The record is from RNAcentral.